GUGAAACUUCAAAGUCGGCUCGUCAUACUGUGCUGGUGGAGACACAUGUGCACGUCGCGAGUCGCAAAUCCACACACCUGUGCAUCUUAUGACUCUGAGUGCCGCUUUGCAUGGCCUUGACCGGCCUGGUGCUCGAGUACUUUCACACACUCUUGAAUGUAAUGGAAUGUCUAUUGUGCAUAAUGUACAAAUGAAA
RNAcentral lists this unclassified non-coding RNA (196 nucleotides) under uncultured Agaricomycetes. RNAcentral describes it as "sequence contains ITS1". The record is from RNAcentral. Lineage: Eukaryota; Fungi; Basidiomycota; Agaricomycetes.